This 453-nucleotide ribosomal RNA is filed under the name uncultured bacterium. RNAcentral describes it as "bacterial SSU rRNA". It matches the Rfam family "Bacterial small subunit ribosomal RNA", at positions 53 to 507 of the family's 1533-position model. The record is from RNAcentral.
ACAUGCAAGUCGAGCGGGGUUUCGGACCUAGCGGCGGACGGGUGAGUAAUGCGUAGGAAGCUACCCGAUAGAGGGGGAUACCAGUUGGAAACGACUGUUAAUACCGCAUAAUGUCUACGGACCCAAAAGUGUGGGACCUUCGGGCCACAUGCUGUCGGAUGCGCCUACGUGGGAUUAGCUAGUUGGUGAGGUAAUGGCUCACCAAGGCGACGAUCCCUAGCUGGUUUGAGAGGAUGAUCAGCCACACUGGAACUGAGACACGGUCCAGACUCCUACGGGAGGCAGCAGUGGGGAAUAUUGGACAAUGGGCGCAAGCCUGAUCCAGCCAUGCCGCGUGUGUGAAGAAGGCCUUCGGGUUGUAAAGCACUUUCAGCGAGGAGGAAGGGUUGUGUGUUAACUUAAGCCCACAUAGCCUUGACGUUACUCGCAGAAGAAGCACCGGCUAACUCUGUG